RNAcentral lists this unclassified non-coding RNA (408 nucleotides) under fungal sp. RNAcentral describes it as "partial internal transcribed spacer region". The stretch from base 1 to 46 matches the Rfam family "Eukaryotic small subunit ribosomal RNA", at positions 1786 to 1831 of the family's 1831-position model. The record is from RNAcentral. Lineage: Eukaryota; Fungi.
AAGUCGUAACAAGGUUUCCGUAGGUGAACCUGCGGAAGGAUCAUUAACACGUAUCCAAACGUUUAAAAAAAAAAGAAAACCCCCCUGUGAACAUUUGCUUGCUCUUGCAGCCCGCCUGGCUAGAAAAUCCCUGGUAAAUCAUCGCUGAACUAGUUUGAUUCAGGGACCGUCUGGUUGGGUGAGAGCCAUAGCUGCAAUCGAGAGAUCGUGGCAUAACCAAGCCUGCUCCGUAAAGUCCCCUGCGUACGUGAAAGUGGUAUUGGGGUGUAUGUACUGGAGAUGUAGGCGUUCGUGCCCCCGAGGAUUACCCCGCUACCAGUCGAAACGACCAACCUGCGCAACCAUUACGUGUUGAGCCCGUGGGCGUCGAUACUUGAACAACUGUUAACAAUGGAUAUCUUGGUUCUC